This 253-nucleotide ribosomal RNA is filed under the name uncultured bacterium. RNAcentral's name for it is "partial 16S ribosomal RNA". It matches the Rfam family "Bacterial small subunit ribosomal RNA", at positions 524 to 776 of the family's 1533-position model. The record is from RNAcentral.
UACGGGGGGGGCAAGCGUUGUUCGGAAUUACUGGGCGUAAAGGGCUCGUAGGCGGCCAACUAAGUCAGACGUGAAAUCCCUCGGCUUAACCGGGGAACUGCAUCUGAUACUGGAUGGCUUGAGUUCGGGAGAGGGAUGCGGAAUUCCAGGUGUAGCGGUGAAAUGCGUAGAUAUCUGGAGGAACACCGGUGGCGAAGGCGGCUCUCUGGAACGCAACUGACGCUGAGACGCGAAAGCGUGGGGAGCAAACAGG